Molecule: transfer RNA, 86 nt
Filed under: Myxococcota bacterium
Lineage: Bacteria; Pseudomonadati; Myxococcota
Description: tRNA-Ser
Rfam family: tRNA
About the family: Transfer RNA (tRNA) molecules are approximately 80 nucleotides in length. Their secondary structure includes four short double-helical elements and three loops (D, anti-codon, and T loops).
Source: RNAcentral
GGAGGCGUGGCCGAGUGGUCGAAGGCAACGGCCUUGAAAGCCGUAGACCCCUCGCGGGUCCGUGGGUUCGAAUCCCACCGCCUCCU